This 28-nucleotide non-coding RNA is filed under the name Cricetulus griseus (Chinese hamster). The record is from RNAcentral. Lineage: Eukaryota; Metazoa; Chordata; Mammalia; Rodentia; Cricetidae.
AAAGCUGGACUUUGAUGACGAAGAAGAA